This 332-nucleotide ribosomal RNA is filed under the name uncultured Pseudomonas sp. RNAcentral describes it as "bacterial SSU rRNA". It matches the Rfam family "Bacterial small subunit ribosomal RNA", at positions 1050 to 1382 of the family's 1533-position model. The record is from RNAcentral. Lineage: Bacteria; Pseudomonadati; Pseudomonadota; Gammaproteobacteria; Pseudomonadales; Pseudomonadaceae.
UGUCGUCAGCUCGUGUCGUGAGAUGUUGGGUUAAGUCCCGUAACGAGCGCAACCCUUGUCCUUAGUUACCAGCACGUUAUGGUGGGCACUCUAAGGAGACUGCCGGUGACAAACCGGAGGAAGUGGGGAUGACGUCAAGUCAUCAUGGCCCUUACGGCCUGGGCUACACACGUGCUACAAUGGUCGGUACAAAGGGUUGCCAAGCCGCGAGGUGGAGCUAAUCCCAUAAAACCGAUCGUAGUCCGGAUCGCAGUCUGCAACUCGACUGCGUGAAGUCGGAAUCGCUAGUAAUCGUGAAUCAGAAUGUCACGGUGAAUACGUUCCCGGGCCUU